RNAcentral lists this ribosomal RNA (491 nucleotides) under uncultured bacterium. Its description in RNAcentral is "partial 16S ribosomal RNA". It matches the Rfam family "Bacterial small subunit ribosomal RNA", at positions 29 to 506 of the family's 1533-position model. The record is from RNAcentral.
AGUGAACGCUGGCGGUAGGCCUAACACAUGCAAGUCGAACGGCAGCACAGUAAGAGCUUGCUCUUACGGGUGGCGAGUGGCGGACGGGUGAGGAAUACAUCGGAAUCUACUUUUUCGUGGGGGAUAACGUAGGGAAACUUACGCUAAUACCGCAUACGACCUACGGGUGAAAGCAGGGGAUCUUCGGACCUUUCGCGAUUGAAUGAGCCGAUGUCGGAUUAGCUAGUUGGCGGGGUAAAGGCCCACCAAGGCGACGAUCCGUAGCUGGUCUGAGAGGAUGAUCAGCCACACGGAAACUGAGACACGGUCCAGACUCCUACGGGAGGCAGCGGUGGGAAAUAUUGGACAAUGGGCGCAAGCCUGAUCCAGCCAGACCGCGUGGGUGAAGAAGGCCUUCGGGUGGUAAAGCCCUUUUGUUGGGAAAGAAAAGCAGCAGGUUAAUACCCCGCUGUUCGGACGGUACCCAAAGAAUAAGCACCGGCUAACUUCGU